GUGCUUGUGGCCUAAUGGAUAAGGUAUUUGACUUCUAAUCAAACGAUUGUGGGUUCAAGUCCCACUAGGCGUG
Molecule: transfer RNA, 73 nt
Organism: Ipomoea nil (Japanese morning glory)
Lineage: Eukaryota; Viridiplantae; Streptophyta; Magnoliopsida; Solanales; Convolvulaceae
Rfam family: tRNA
About the family: Transfer RNA (tRNA) molecules are approximately 80 nucleotides in length.
Source: Rfam